This 253-nucleotide ribosomal RNA is filed under the name uncultured bacterium. Its description in RNAcentral is "partial 16S ribosomal RNA". It matches the Rfam family "Bacterial small subunit ribosomal RNA", at positions 524 to 776 of the family's 1533-position model. The record is from RNAcentral.
UACAGAGGUCCCAAGCGUUGUUCGGAUUCACUGGGCGUAAAGGGUGCGUAGGCGGUUGGGUAAGUCUGUCGUGAAAUCUCCGAGCCCAACUCGGAAACUGCGUCGGAUACUAUUCAACUCGAGGAAUGGAGGGGAGACUGGAAUUCUCGGUGUAGCAGUGAAAUUCGUAGAUAUUCGGAAGAACACCAGUGGCGAAGGCGACUUACUGGACGACUGUUGACGCUGAGGUGCGAAAGCGUGGGGAGCAAACAGG